RNAcentral lists this ribosomal RNA (448 nucleotides) under uncultured bacterium. RNAcentral describes it as "bacterial SSU rRNA". It matches the Rfam family "Bacterial small subunit ribosomal RNA", at positions 330 to 794 of the family's 1533-position model. The record is from RNAcentral.
CCCAGACUCCUACGGGAGGCAGCAGUGGGGAAUAUUGCACAAUGGGGGAAACCCUGAUGCAGCGACGCCGCGUGAGUGAAGAAGUAUUUCGGUAUGUAAAGCUCUAUCAGCAGGGAAGAAAAAAGACGGUACCUGACUAAGAAGCCCCGGCUAACUACGUGCCAGCAGCCGCGGUAAUACGUAGGGGGCAAGCGUUAUCCGGAAUUACUGGGUGUAAAGGGAGCGUAGACGGUGAAGUAAGUCUGGAGUGAAAGGCGGGGGCCCAACCCCCGGACUGCUCUGGAAACUAUUUGACUGGAGUGCAGGAGAGGUAAGCGGAAUUCCUAGUGUAGCGGUGAAAUGCGUAGAUAUUAGGAGGAACACCAGUGGCGAAGGCGGCUUACUGGACUGUAACUGACGUUGAGGCUCGAAAGCGUGGGGAGCAAACAGGAUUAGAUACCCGGGUAAU